GACGAACCGAGCGAAGGUUGUUCGGAAUCACUGGGCUUAAAAGGCGCGUAGGCGGGCUGUCAAGUCUGGGGUGAAAUCCCACGGCUCAACCGUGGAACUGCCUCAGAUACUGACGGUCUCGAGGGAGGUAGGGGCGAGCGGAACUGAUGGUGGAGCGGUGAAAUGCGUUGAUAUCAUCAGGAACUCCGGUGGCGAAGGCGGCUCGCUGGACCUUUUCUGACGCUGAGGCGCGAAAGCUAGGGGAGCAAACGGG
Molecule: ribosomal RNA, 253 nt
Filed under: uncultured bacterium
Lineage: Bacteria
Description: partial 16S ribosomal RNA
Rfam family: Bacterial small subunit ribosomal RNA
Source: RNAcentral